RNAcentral lists this ribosomal RNA (501 nucleotides) under uncultured bacterium. RNAcentral's name for it is "partial 16S ribosomal RNA". It matches the Rfam family "Bacterial small subunit ribosomal RNA", at positions 30 to 523 of the family's 1533-position model. The record is from RNAcentral.
AUUGAACGCUGGCGGCAUGCCUUACACAUGCAAGUCGAACGGCAGCACGGGUGCUUGCACCUGGUGGCGAGUGGCGAACGGGUGAGUAACACAUCGGAACGUACCUUAUCGAGGGGGAUAAUGCAGCGAAAGUUGCGCUAAUACCGCAUACGCCCUGAGGGGGAAAGCGGGGGACCGUAAGGCCUCGCGCGAUUAGAGCGGCCGAUGUCUGAUUAGCUUGUUGGUGAGGUAAAAGCUCACCAAGGCGAUGAUCGGUAGCUGGUCUGAGAGGACGAUCAGCCACACUGGGACUGAGACACGGCCCAGACUCCUACGGGAGGCAGCAGUGGGGAAUUUUGGACAAUGGGGGCAACCCUGAUCCAGCAAUGCCGCGUGAGUGAAGAAGGCCUUCGGGUUGUAAAGCUCUUUUGUCAGGGAAGAAACAGCAGCUCUAACACAGUCUGCGAAUGACGGUACCUGAAGAAUAAGCACCGGCUAACUACGUGCCAGCCGCCGCCGUAA